RNAcentral lists this ribosomal RNA (440 nucleotides) under uncultured bacterium. RNAcentral's name for it is "partial 16S ribosomal RNA". It matches the Rfam family "Bacterial small subunit ribosomal RNA", at positions 338 to 795 of the family's 1533-position model. The record is from RNAcentral.
CCUACGGGAGGCAGCAGUAGGGAAUAUUGCUCAAUGGGCGAAACCCUGAAGCAGCAACGCCGCGUGGAGGAUGAAUGUUUUAGGAGUUUAAACUCCUUUUUUUAGAGAAGAUUAUGACGGUAUCUAACGAAUAAGCACCGGCUAAAUCCGUGCCAGCAGCCGCGGUAAUACGGAGGGUGCAAGCGUUACUCGGAAUCACUGGGCGUAAAGAGUGCGUAGGCGGGGUAAUAAGUCAGAUGUGAAAUCCUGUAGCUUAACUACAGAACUGCAGUUGAAACUGUUACUCUGGAGUGUGGGAGAGGUAGGUGGAAUGCUUGGUGUAGGGGUGAAAUGCGUAGAGAUCAAGAGGAAUACUGAUUGCGAAGGCGACCUGCUGGAACACUACUGACGCUGAUGCACGAAAGCGUGGGGAGCAAACAGGAUUAGAUACCCUUGUAGUC